RNAcentral lists this small nuclear RNA (158 nucleotides) under Microtus ochrogaster (prairie vole). RNAcentral describes it as "U1 spliceosomal RNA (ENSMOCG00000005792.1)". It matches the Rfam family "U1 spliceosomal RNA". From Rfam's summary of the family: U1 is a small nuclear RNA (snRNA) component of the spliceosome (involved in pre-mRNA splicing). Its 5' end forms complementary base pairs with the 5' splice junction, thus defining the 5' donor site of an intron. There are significant differences in sequence and secondary structure between metazoan and yeast U1 snRNAs, the latter being much longer (568 nucleotides as compared to 164 nucleotides in human). Lineage: Eukaryota; Metazoa; Chordata; Mammalia; Rodentia; Cricetidae. The record is from RNAcentral.
GUAUUUGCAGACAAGGGAGAUACCAUGGCCAGGAUGGUGGUUUCCCCAGGGGCAGGCUUAGCCAUUGCACUCCAGAUGUUUGACCCUGCAGUUUCCCAGAUGCAGGAAAUUCGACUUCAUAAUUUGUGAAAGUCGGUGACUGGAUUCGCAGUCUCCAC